UGGACUGAUCUCUGGUGGGGAUGAGUCCGUCUGACCAUCUGGUGACGCCAAAACACCCUGGAGCUCAACGCUCUGAAGACAGAGAUGGUUGUGGAUUUCCGAAGGAACGCAGCCCCUCAACAUCAUCAGGCUCAGCAGAAGGUGUUCUGAACAAAUUCAACCUGCCAAAGACGAUGAUGGUGACCUUCUACACGGCCAUCAUGGAGUCCAUCCUCUGCUCCACCAUCACCGCCUGGUACGCUGCAGCCACAGCCAAGGACAAGGGCAGGCUGCAGCGCGUCCUCCGCUCUGCAGAGAGGCUGAUCGGCUGCAACCUGCCGUCCCUCUUGAUUGAUUACUUUAUCAAUGACUUUGACACUUCCUGUCUUAAAAAAGAAAGAUAUAUACAUCGAGUGACUUCUUUCUAUUUAAUAAAUAAGAAUACGUGAACAAAUAAGUGAAUUCCUUCUCAUUAAAUAAAAAAGUAUCUAGAAAUCCAAGAUGUAGUGACGUCAUGGCCAGGUCCGUCCAAUCAGAAGAGCCGGUGAAUAAUGUGCACGAGCCUGAAAGCCGAGUCCAAACGUCUCUCCGCCGCCAACCGUCCCCGUGUUCACGAGCAGCAGUAAUGAGCAGCAGAAGCCGAAGGUCCUGCACCAGGGGUCGCUCCAGCUGUUUAGGACGGAAAGCGACGAUUCUCCCCAAAGA
This is a non-coding RNA of Gasterosteus aculeatus aculeatus (three-spined stickleback), 684 nucleotides long. The record is from RefSeq and is a predicted model, not a curated record. NCBI's taxonomy places the organism in Eukaryota, Metazoa, Chordata, Actinopteri, Perciformes, Gasterosteidae.